GCAAAAAGCAGAACGAGAGACCCAAAAAAAGCUGAAAACAUGAACUUUUUUCACUCUUCAGUCCAGCCGCUGCUCUUAAAGAUGCGAGGAGAGCAAGGGGGGAAAUAAAAAAGGGAAAAGGGGAAAAAAUGAGCGGGGCUGGGGAGGCUCGCACCCAAUGCUCAGCCCCUCCCCGAAACACCUCCCCAAAACGCCUCUCCCUCCCCAAAAUGCCUCCCCGAAACGCCUCCGCCUCCCCAAAAUGCCUCCCCCUCCCCCAAAUUCCCCUCUUUUUCUCCCCCCCUGCCCCGCAGGUUCUGCCUGUGCGAGACCAGCUGUCCCCAGGAGGAUUAUUUCCCUCCCAAUUUGUUCGUCAAGGUCAACGGCAAGCUCUGCCCCCUGCCCGGCUACCUCCCACCCACGAAGAACGGCGCCGAGCCCAAGCGCCCCAGCCGCCCCGUCAACAUCACGCCCCUGGCGCGGCUCUCGGCCACCGUCCCCAACACCAUCGUGGUCAACUGGUCGGCGGAGUUCGGCCGGCACUACUCGCUGUCGGUGUACCUGGUGAAGCAGCUGACCUCGGUGACUCUGCUGCAGAAGCUGCGCGCCAAGGGCAUCCGCAACCCCGACCACUCGCGAGCCCUCAGUAAGUGCCCUGGGGGGG
RNAcentral lists this long non-coding RNA (643 nucleotides) under Anas platyrhynchos platyrhynchos (common mallard). RNAcentral's name for it is "lncRNA (ENSAPLG00000027986.1)". Lineage: Eukaryota; Metazoa; Chordata; Aves; Anseriformes; Anatidae. The record is from RNAcentral.